UUUUUUUUUUUUUUAGGUUCCCAGCUCCUAAUGCAUGAUUAUUAAAGCAGGGGGCAAGUUAAUAUUUGUUGACUAAAUUAAUGAAUCAUGUAACUUUGUUUUGGAAAAUGUUUCUAGUUAACCCAACAUUUAAUUUUCAUUUUAUUUUUUGCUUCCUUUCCCUUCUGUCUUCAUAGCAUGAAGAAAUCACUACAAAGAAGGCAAAUUUUAAAUUGUGUUAGUAAUAAGUCUUGAACCACAAGGAUUACAGCUUGUUCUUUAUAUUACAAUACUGCUUCUAAACCACAAAUAGGUUUAAUUUUGAGUUCAGCAAUUCCUUAGACCUGAAUGAUAACAACACCAUUUGCCCAGGGAUAAUAGCAGAUUUUGACAGCUUUUCAUUAAUACUGAAGAAUCUUGUGGGUCAUAGGAUUGAACAUUAAAAUAGAAAUUGCCCCUAGCAUUAAAAUAGAAAUAACUUUCUUGUUCAAUGCUAGAACAAAGGGGAAAGCUGGGGGUAGAUGGAAGGAUGGGGACAGACCACAGCUCGGCUUUGCACACACCAGCUCCCAUUUCUCUAACUUGGCAGGGGUGGAGCACAAUAACAUCAGUCCACGCUGCUGUGAGUGUGAAAUCUGUGAACAAUAAAGUUGACCCAGCUUUGUCCAUCUACUUUCUGUGGCAGGAAGGCUAUUCUUUUUAUUUUUUUUAAGGUUUGUUUAUUUAUUUGAAAGGCAGAGUUACAGAGAGACAGAGGGGGAGAGAGAGAGAGACAGAGAGACAGAGAGAGAGAGAGAUCUUCUAUCCACUGGUUCACUCCUCAGUCAGCCACAAUGGCCAGAGCUGCAUUGAUCUGAAGCCAAGAUCUAGGAGCUUCUUCCGGAUCUCCCACAUGGGUGCAGGGAGGGGCCCAAAGACUUGGGCCAUUAUCUACUGCUUUCCCUGGCCAUAGCAGAGAGCUGGAUCGGAAGUGGAGCAGCCGGGACACGAACCAGUGCUGAUAUGAGAUGCUGGCACUCCAGGUGGCAGCUUUACCAGCUAUGCCACAGUGCGGCCCCAGGAAGGCUGUUUGGGUCACCAUUACCUUGACGUUCUCUCAGGGACAUGGAGAAAUGUUUAGUAAGUGCACAUUGAACACCUGCUAUGGCCAGACUGAGGACACUGGGGCUCUGAAAAGUUAAAUUUCUUAACUAGAAAAUUCCAGUAUUUUGAUUGGAAUUUAGAUCUUCCAUCAUUCUAUCCUAUACCUCAACUUGAUAUUCUCCACCCCCAAACCUGAUUGUCAUCCAAUUAGUCUGUAGUGGCAUAGCAUAAUAGAGAUGAGUCUCGGAAAUGGAUGGGUCUGUCCUGCUCUGGGAUCCACUAACCUGGUGACCCUGUACUACAGUUUUCGUCUCUGGAAAAUUAAGAUAAUAAGGGUUAGCUCAUAAGGUUGUAUUAUAUUUAUGCAGUGCCAAUGACACUGACUCCAUGUCACAUAUUCUUUCUUUCUGUGUUUGGAAUACUUGAAAUUCACACUGCUUAGCCACUUACAUUCAGCUUCACCAUUUAAAAUUUGGGUCCACUUGAAAGCUUCAUGGGAACAUUAUGUCAUUUGCCUAUGAGUAUGCUUUGUAGAAACUUAUUUGGAGACCUCAAAUGUCAGAGGGAGGAGAGUAGUUGUCUACUCAUUUAGUCCAAGCCCUUGAUUUUUUUUUUGUUUUAUAUAUAUUUAAAAGCAGAAAUUCUGCUUGUGAAAUUUUGCUCAGUUUAGUCACAUAGAGGUUUUAUUAGUGAAAGUUUAAUUAUUUGGAGAAGUUUACAAUGGAUACUAUGUUCAGCUCAGAUUUUAGCCCAGAGCUAAAUUCUUGUUUACAUUUGAAAAUGGAAAGUAAAAUGAGUGCUGAUGAAAGGCAGAUUCCAAGAUAAAAUAUGCAAAUUCAAACACAAAAGGAAAUGUGAUGCACACGGCAUCACUGUGUGAUUAUGCAUUGGGUUGGAUACUGGGAAAUGUUUAAGAAGAGGCAGUGGAGUCACUCUUAUAGAGCUGUUAGUAUGAACAAUGGCUGACAGAAGGCAUAUUAGCCACCCUGGGCUUGCCAUUUUGUGUCUUCUUUGUCUUUGCCUCUACCUCUCUGGCUCCUUUCAGAUUUGUCCACCCACCACUGGCCUCUUUGCAAACGAGAAGGCCUCGGGCUUUCUCUGCUUAGUGUGGGAUUCUCAGUAACUCUUCUGUACAAAGAUUUAGAUUAGAAAAUAAUGAGCUGAUUUCAUUCAGAUUUUAUAAGGAGUUAGAUAGUAUUCAAAUAUGACAGAAAUAUGCAGGUGUUUGUCAUGCUUAAUUAGUGUUACAUAAAAUUUUCAUUCUUUUGCUUGGAGAUUGGUGAAUUUUCUCUAUGUUAAAUGUUUGUUAUUUCUUUAAGUAUGUUAGUAACUUUGUAUUACACUGUAUACCAAGAGGAAAUUUCAGUUCAUGUGACCACAUCUUGGGCACUAUCCAAUGGAAUGAAUUAUGUUCAUACUCAAAUCAUGUGACAUUGUUGAUUCUGACACUUUUGUCUACAAAAAUGCUAGUUCACUAAGGUUCAAUAUAAUUUAUAGAUUCAGCCCACCCAUUUCUUUCCUUAGGCUAAAUUUACUUUGUCCAAAGUCCACAAUAUGUAUAGCAUAUAUUAGACACUUAAUGUUUAUUUUUUGAUUGAAUAAAUGGCCAGGAGUUGAUAUGAGUGACACUUUAGGUGGGUUUUUGAGGCAUUUGGUCCACCUCUAUACUAUGCAAUGAAAGUAAAAUAUUUUCCUUUUGAAUGAGGCUGAGAAGGCUAAGCAGAAGGGUUAAUGUACUGGUUAACCAGGCUUUUCCUCGUAUGUGUAAGGAGGACAUAUGGUGGGUCACAGAGGUCAAGAAUUUGGUAAGGCAUUUGAAAAGUAAACAGUUGAGAAGGUGAAAAGUGUAUCUGUUCUGAUCUUGGGCGGUCUAAGCCAAUAAACCUAACUAGUCUUUGAAAUGGUAUUUCCCUUUCUUCCUGGAUUGUGAGAGAGAGAUUUUACAUGACUGAUGGGAGUGCCCGAUUAGCCACUUGCUAGACAGUCUAAAUUUCUGCUCCAUUUAAUUCAGGGGUUCCCAGCUCACAUAGGGCUUGCAGGUGGAUAGGACAGUGUCUGGGGGCUUUGCCAUGGGUGAUGGGACUGAAGCUGGACUCCAGAGUCCUGAAGAGGCCGAUGCUACAGAAGGGAUGUAUCCUAAAGAGAGACUCACAGAAGCUUUGGAAAGAUCACAGAAUUCAGCUCUUUAGAAAUGUAGACUGGCUUUUCCCAUAAUCACCUGUGCUAGCGACACACUGUACUCCAGGUAUUGCAAACAUUCCUGACAGCAAUGCUAAUACUGUCUGUCCCCUCGCUCUCUGUGUCAGUUCCCAUUGCUAACUUUAGAUGCUUUGCUAUGCUCCUCCAUGCAUCUGUGCACACGGAUGGGAGAAUCUUAGUCAACCUGUACAUUUUGAAAAUAUAUUUGCAUGUGAUACGAGGCUCACCACGACUUUCUUGUUUUCAUUUCCUGAUAACUCAAGCAUUAUCCUCAGCAGCAAACUUCCCAAGGGCUCCCUGGUGUAUGUAGUCUUCUUGCCAGCUGCAGAGUAUAUGGAGCUGUGAUCCCAGGGCAUGUAAGAAGAUCGGAAUGCCAAGGCAGUGAGAAAAUAUACAUAAAAACAAAUUGGUAUAUCCCCAAGAGUGCUAUAAAUGUCACUUGUGAUUAUUACUAUGUUAAGUGCCAAAUGACUGUAACAGUCCCAGUGGGGAGGGGCCCUGUGGUCCAGGAGAGGUGGCUGUGAAUAAGUUGCAAAUGGAAUAAAGUUGUGUUUAGGAGGCAGCAGAGAUGUCAUUCUUAGCUAGUAAGAGUUGGAACGGCCGCCAGAGACCCUCACGUGCAAAGUCUGGGAGAUUGCAGGGAGGCCACACUUGUUGACAUACAGGGAAGAAGUCUGAAUUCUUCAGCCUGAUUGUGAAUUCAGAGUCAGUUGUUUGAGUUAAAGAAAAGAUCUAGGCGGUUAGCUCACUGGGACAGGACUGCUAGGCAGCAUUCACUGAGCACUUACUACGUGCCGAGCUUACCACAGUGUGCUUUACAUGCAUUGCUUCACUCUAGGGCCCCAUUUUAUAAAUAGGGACCACAGAUUAAAGUAUAUUCCGAGUGGAGCAGGUGGUCAGUGACAAAGGAUUCAAAUGUAAGUGCCCUGAUCCCCGCACCUGGGCUUCUCACCCAAAGCUGUCAGAAAAAUCUAAGAAGAGGACAUUGUGUGAUCACGUGGUGGCUAGUGGCUCCGAUGCCGGUUGCUUUGGUUAAUGAACUUCCCGAAGAAUCCUCACUCUACCCCUGAGUUUCCUCGUGUGCGCACUGAGAACAGUAAUAAGGACGCUAUCUUAUGGAUUGGUGGCCAUGAGGGUUUGGUGGGAUAACCAGGUUGCUUGACUGCUGUGAGUUUAGAGAACUUCUCAGCCUUAACUCAGUUUGCAUGACAGAAGUAAGGGGUGGGCGUUUGGCACAGCAAUUAAGACGCUGCUUGGGAUACCCAUAUUCCAUAUCAGUGCACCUUGGUUAUGAGUCCUGGCUCUACUGCCUAAUCGAGCUUCCAGUUAAUGUACACCCAGGGAGGCAGAAGAUCAUGGUUCAUAUACUUCCAUCUCUGCCACACACUUGGGAAACCCAGCUGAGUUUCAGGCUCCUGGCUUCAUCCUGACCCAGCCUUAGCUGUUGCAGGUAUUUGAGGAGUAAACCGGCGGAUGAGAGAUCUCACUUUGUCUCUGUCUCUCUUUGCAUUUCAAAUAAAAUGAAAAUAAAUAAAAAGCUUUUGAAAAUAGAACAAAAGAGAGUAAUCUUAGAGAUAUUAAGUAGUUUGCUCAAGUACUGAAUUGUGAUUACAACGAAUCAGUCUUUGUAGGAAUAAGAGCUGUCUUCUCUACACCAGGCAAUCAACUAAAUUAGAAUACAUUGUCAUGACAAAAUUCAACCAAGAUUUGCUUUUUUUUCUUUACGAUUUUAUUUUUUUAUUUGAGAAAUAGAGUUAGAGAGAGAGAGAGAGAGAGAGAGAGAGAGAGAGAUGGGUGAGAAAGGUCCCCAGAUGGCUAGAGGUGAGCUGAGCUGAUCUGAAGCCAGGAGCCAGGAGCUUCUUCAGAUCUCCCACUGGGUGCAGGGGCCCAAGCACUUGGGCCAUCUUCCACUUCUUUUCCAGCCCAUAGCAGAGAGCUGGGUCAGAGGAGGAACAGCCAGGACAUGAACCAGAGCCCAUAUGAGAUGCUGGUGCCACAGGUGAAGGUUUAGCACAUACACCACAGCGCUGGCUCCAAGAUUUGCUUUUGAAAUAAUUAAGAAAAGCAUUUUAAAGUACCCCUGCUUCUUUUAGAUGAAAAAUAAACACAGUAGUAUUUAUCUUUGAGUGAGCGAAUAUGUGUGUGUACAGUCUGUUUUGUUUUUGACAAGUAAUUAUUUAGCAUUAGCUAUUCUCUUUCUAUUAUUAAUAUAGCUUUCAUUCAUUUUAAAAUAAAAGUGAAUGUCAGGUUUCAAAACACAUAAUUUUAUAAACUAUAUAUUCCUAUUCCUAAGCCAACAUUGAUGUGUUAGGUUUAUUCAACAACAUGCAAACAAGUUUGAAGAUUCUCUGUGAUCUCACAAUGAGUAGCAUUAUGUCUAUUCUUUUGGUUGAUCCCUCUUGCUUUCAGAGGCCCCAAGGAAGCAGGCUGGUAGGGAGUAUCCCCUCUGCUGGCCUGGCCACUUUCCAUUCAGGAGCAUGAGUGGGCUGGGUGGACAUGAGCAGGAAUCUCGAGAAGGCGACAGUUCCUGUUAAUACCCAUUCUCUCUCCUUGCUCAAUUCCAAAGUUCCCACACACCACACAGAAACAGAGAGCUAUGCCUGCAUGGACCAGAAUGAAAGAUGGACUCUGCCCUCCUGAAAUCCGGUUCUGUCCUUGCUGUGUCACACUGACUCACCAGUGACCAUUGGAAGAGGGAAGCGCUGAUUGCCUGGCAUCCUCUUCCCUUACUUCCAUUGAAUUUGUUUUCUGGUCUGUUCUCAUGUAUUUAUUUUCCCUUGACUUCUGCCCUAUUACUACGUUGCAAUAAAUUAUUUUAAGUAGUUUUUUAAAAAUAAAAUUAAAGGAAUACACAUGGCAUUUCCUCUUUUAAUGUUCAGACUCUUUACCAAUUCAUGUUGUCUUAUUGAUCUCUAUUAAUUAUAUAAGUUUGUAUUUGGAACAUUUUUCGUAUUUAAAGCACUUGCUGGUUUUAUAAUUUGGAUAAAUUGAAAUGGCAGAGACUGUGUACAUGAUUACUGUUACCCUUGGUAGUUCGACAAAAGCAUGUUGUGUGUCUGCAAGCACGUAGGAUGGCAGAGAGCGGUGAUCUGCAUGGAAGGAUCCCUUUUCUCGGGGUUUGUCUCUGAGACCCGAGAGGCUCUUUGUUAGGAAGAGAGGGGAAGAUUGUGGCCUUCUCAGGGCACCAAAUAGAAGAAAAAAGAGGCACAGAACAGAGAGGAGACAGAAUAAGAACUCGCAGCCAGACCGAAUUUAUUCAGAGAACAUGAAUCCACAGAAGUGGACCAACUGCCAUCAUGCUCACAGAGCCAGCAAAGGGGAAAAUAGGAAAGCAAGAGUCCUGUCCGGUUAGUGGGAAGACAGGUGUGUGCCUGGGUGCCAGAGGGAAAGGACGCUCCCAUUUUGUUCAGUGGGCACGUGCUGGCUGGGAGCCAUGGGAUGGAGUCAGUCUGAUCUGCUUCUAGUCCUGGGCUCCCUCAUUUCCUCCCUCUGCUUAUGGAAACCCUGGUUGCUGUCAGGGGUUUGGGUGAGGACUGGAGCUGAGUUCUUCCAGCUGAGUAGAGGACGCAUGGUCAACACAGGGUUCCAGCAGGUGGCCUCUUGAGGGGGCUGCUGCACUAGCUCACAGAUACUGUCUGCAUUCAUGGUUUUAUUUCCUGGAGCAAACAAAUCUAACAAGCAGAUUAAAUACACGGGGUCUAAAACUAAGGACAGAGUCAUUACUAGAGGACCUAAGAAAGGUGCUGUCCAAACCAGGAGAGAUUUUUCCCAUUGAAAGGCAAACAGAAACUGACAGGUGGGAUUUCAUAAUAAUCAGGUGGGCAUUAAGACUUGCCAAGGUAAAUGUGAUGUCCAGACCUGUCUAUCUCUUCACAUGGGGUUCUGGAAGAGACAUCAUAAGGGAGGUGUGAACCUUCUUAGGGAAGGCACCUGUUGGCUUCCAUUACCUGGCUGGCCUGGGAAGAGAGUUGGCCUGCAAUAGGAGAUUAGUAUUGAAUAGGCGGCAUCUCUGAAAGCAGAUGUACAGCUCUACCUAGAUUGUUACUGACCCUAGGCUGUCCUCCUGCUGGCAGUGGUUACUCUGGAAGCUGGGCAGAGUGAAGGGCUUUUUCAGCUUGGGGCCAUCAGGGUCUGCAGCUCUGACCCAGGAGUCCUCCAACCCCCAAGGCAGUUCCAUUUCCAGUGGCCUUGCUCUUGGAAGAGCUGACAGCUGCUUGCCCAAUGCCCUGACUCCUCAUAUGGAAAACAGGUGCCAUUUCGGGGUGGACUGGCCUUGUUGGGUCUCCUUGAUGGCAGAUCACCAUGUAAAGGAGCCAUUAAAUGGCCUGCCACCUAUCCUUACAUUGUUCCUGAUGCCUCGCUCCUCUUUCUCCUGGUCUUUGUUAAAGAGGAACGCAGAGGAAGCCUUUAGGAAUCUCAGACAAGGGUGCACUCAAUCCUGUCCCUAAUCUUUGGUGGCCUGAGCUAGAAAUCUGUAGUCACAGGCAUGUUAUUACAAUAUUCUUACUGUUAGAUAAGAUGAUGCCCAUGAGGAAAAGCUAUGCCCUUCUAGGUGAGAUAAAACAUUAAGACCACCUUAUCCAGUCUGUCUUAUAUAAGGUCUAAAAAUCAAACUGUACAUCCUGAUGGAGAGUUCUAUAGAAUAGAAUCCAUUUUCCAUCUUGGAGAGAAUAGAGGAGAAAUGAGAAAACAAGUCAAGCUUCCCAAAUUGCCUACUUUCAAUAACUUAAUAUCAAAUGAAAACUUUAGUAAAUAAUUUUAGCUGUCAAAUAACUUAGAAAAGCAUUUACCAAAAGGUCCAAUGCCUUCCAUAAAUUUUAUGAGUACAUGUAGUUGGAAAUAUUUCUUGAAUAUCUAAAACAAAUGUAAGCCAAUUAAAACAAAGCUGUUAAUAAAUUUUCCAUGUAGACAUAUAAUAUGUGCACACGUAUAACAUUACAGGAGAAAACAACAAAGCAGUGUCAGUUAUUAGCAGAGAUUUUGUCUGCAACUACAAAAGGCAGAGGUAAAGAUAGAAGAAGGCUAGGCAUGGGGCAUUCUCUGGGGCAGAGUUGCUCAGAACUUACCACUGUUCUUGAGUUUUCCUUUGCUGGCCCUGCCAUGUAUAUUGCUGGAGAUCUGGACCAGAGAUGUUGUCUUUGGGUGAGAUGUUAGGUUUUAGGAUUUUAGUGUUUGUAGACAAAGAGGAGGUGGUUAGUUAAAGAAGACCUUAUUUUAGGGAAGACAGAAUGGAUAGGGGGAAAGGAGGAGUAUGGACCGAGCUCACCCUGACAGGACAGAGGGCUGGGGUGGGGGUGAGUGUGUUGAUGUCAGACUUUAUUGUAUUUGAACAGCAAGCAUAGUCCUUUCUGGAUCUGCUUGUUUGGGGAGGUGCAGAGCAUCACAUGUACCCUGAUAAGGUGGGCAGAAAACGUGAGAAAGGCUCCCGGGUAGGGUGAAUGUCCCAGGUGUGGGACUUCCCAGAGCAGUAAACAUUCUGCUAGCCCAGAGGAGAGAGUGACAGAACCAGGGAGGGAGCUCAGGAAGAAAGGAGAGAGGCAGUUCUGGCUGCUGGUGAGUUGAGGGUGGGGAAGAGCCAGACCUCUGACCAUUUACCGUUUCUCUGUGUAAAGUUAUUAAAAUCGUAGAGAAUUUUGAGACAAAAAUGGCAAAUUAGAAUCUUUUCCAAUUUAUAUUGAGACCAUAUUUCACUGCAGAGAUAGAUUAAUCCCUCCCCUUUACUUUCCCCUACAGGUCUAACGCACAAGUCUUUUAAGGGGUAGGCCAGAAGGGAGUUGAAAUUUGGAAUCUGUGGAUUAUGCAAAAUUGGCUUGAGGGAAGGGAAGGGGGUUCUUUUACAGGGCAUCCCCCCAAAGGAAAGAAUAACCACAACCAACAACCUAAGUUCUGGGUCCUCUAAGAGGAGAGAGGUAGAAAUCCCCAUGCUAAGUUCUGGGUCCUCUAAGAAGAGAGAGGUAGAAAUCCCCAUGCUUAGACCAGCGUCCCAGUUCUAAGUGAGGGAAACUGACCCAACAUCCCAGGCCAUAUGAAGGGGGAUGAACCAGUCACAAGCAUUGCCCCAGUGAGGUGAGCGAGACCUCUCUUACCAAUCUGAUAGGUUGAGAAUUAGGUCCAAUAUGGGCAGGUAGCAAUGAGAUCUGACAAAGGCUCUGGCUGUGAAUUUGUUGGGAAAUGAGAAGUACAAGCGGGAAUGGGAAAGUGUUCUGGAGAGACAUCUCCCAGGGCUACCAAGGUCAGAAGGGAAAGAGGAGAUUGUAGGAAAGAGAAAAUAAGAAUGAGCAGAGACAGUGAAAAGGGAAAGCAGUUAACAAAGAAGAAAGUUUGGAGGAAGGGUGGGGGAAAUCAUACAUCUUACCCAGAGACCUGGUCCUCCAUGCCCCUCCUCACAUGGGACACCAUAAAUGUUAGGAAAAGAGUGCAGAUUGGUGCUGCCUCACCUGGGGCACUGAGUGUAAGAAAAAGGUGUGCAGAACAGAGAGGAGACAGAAUACGAACUUGCAACCAGACCAGAUUUAUUCAGAGUAAAUAAAUCCGCAGAGGUCGACCAACUGCCAUCACGCUAACAGACUGAACAUGUAGCAGAGGCCGAGAUCCCAACAGGCUGGGCCCUUUCCUAUCUUGAUUGGGCUAGGGGUUGGGGUGUGAGGCAGUAGUUGCAGAUCAGCUUCUCCAUACUGGCUCUUCAGGUUUGGACCAAUGGCUUUGGGAAGAAUGCAGGGGGAUGGGUGGGGGACAAUACAGGGUGUGAGAUGGAACUGAUCUCUUGAAAGAAGGCAGGGGUAACAAGAAACCUAAAAUGGCUGGGGCUUAAGUCCUUGUUCCAUCACUCUUGGGUCAUAGCAUUCCCAUUGUAGUCUGGGAAGCUGUUAGGAGGUGUUAGAGGGGGCUGGUGAUAUGAUCUGAUGAUACGGGUAUUAGUAAAGACAGAGAAGGAGAGGAGUGAUGUUGUAGAAUACUUAUUUGGUCUCCAUCUGGUUUCUUGAAUCCCCCUCUGGAGUAAUGAAUGUCUUUGGAUGCUAUGGAGAUGACUGGGGGGCGACAGCUCCUGAAGAGCCUCUAGGGAAUGACUGGUUGCUGCAGGAGCCAACCACGUAGCUGUAAGGAUGGAAUUUUCACCACUUCCUCCACAAAGAGGGACUGAAGGUUGAGUUGGUCACCAAAGGACAAUGAUGUAAUCAGAUGUGUAGAGCAAAGCCUCAAACAAUACCUAACAGGGCAAAGUUUGCAUAGCUCCUGACAUACAAACAUGCACAGGUGCUCAAGGAGUGGUCUAGCAAGAAAGGGCACGCAUGCUACCUUGCUCUCUGAAUCUCUUCAUCUGUAUACUCCUAACAUCCUUUUUAAUCAACCGGUAAGCAGAGAUAAGGUGUUCUCUGAUUUCAGUGAACCAGAUUAAUUGAACCCAAUAAGGGACAACUGGAAAGCCUGACUUGUAGCAAUCAGAAGUACAGGUGUCUAAGACUUGUGACCAGCAUCUGAGGUGGGGGCAGUCUAGUGGAACUUACACCUCAACCUGUGGUUUUUGACAUUUACUGUCCAUCAUUGAAAAUGAAUUAUAAGGGGACCCAGCUGGACAAAAGCUGCUACAGAUUUGAUUGCUUACUUGUUGGUGAGGAUAAAACCCCACAAAACUCCAACCCACACAUUUUGGUCACCAGAGGUUGCAAGAUGACUGUUUUAUUGACAGUAGAGAAAAGGAAAAACACAGAACUUUGGUUCUUCUUUCUAUCUCCUAAGAAUUAGAAGUUCACAAAUCUAUAGUUCACAAAAUCUAUUCAUCCAAUGCAGCUGGCUUUUUAGGAUGGGGAUUGCUAUGGUUUGAAUAUGUUUUGACCCUCUAAAUCAUAAACUAAUAGUCUUAGUGGAAACCUAAUUUAAUUGUGGUAUUUAGAGGUAGGGGCUUUGAAAAGUGAUUAGAUAAGAAGUCACUAUAAUGGAGCCCCCAUGGUCUUUCGAAAGACCACAAAGAUAUAGAGAUGGACACAUGUGUUCCCUCUUUCUCACCAGGCAACUCUCUGUCUUGGACUCUGUCAACAAGAACAUCAUCACCAGAGGCUGAACUGAUUAGUGGUGAAUGCCCAGUCUUGGACUGUGAACCACCCAAACCAUGAGCCAAAAUAAGUCUCUUUUUAUUCAUAAUGUUUGGCUCCCUCAGUUAUUUCUCUAUAGUGGCCAAGAGCUGAGAAACAAAUAAUAAGUUUUAGAAGAAAGAGGAUGAGGAAGGUCCAAAGUAGAGGAAGAGUUUAUAUGCUGCUUAAAAGCUGAAAUACCUGGGCCCUGUUCUUCCUUUAAGCCAGCUGGGAGAGUUGUCACAAUGUUUGUAGCACCUUUGUGUGGAUAAACUUGGGCCAUUGUGCUAGAGGAGUUUGGGAAAAGAUUUCUUGGAAAUUUUACAUUUAUUAACAAAAUAUCAGUAUAUCAAGAAUGAGAAUGAGAACAGAAACAAUAGCUACCCCUGGAGUAUUUGAUCUAGUCUGGCCAAAAGGCAAAGCUAUUAUAUUUUGAAAAAAGAGGAGAGAUUAGCUCCUAAGUUGCUAUAUUCAAGAACCAUUCCAGUUUCAGGCAAGAUUUAUUUUGCUUAAUGUCUCUCCUUUUAUAGAAGCCAGACCUUUCCCUUCACUGGCCUCUGCAAGCCUUAACUUAGGUUAUGACCACAAUUUAUAUGAUAAAAGGGCUGUAAAUGCAAAAUUUAGGGGGAGUGAUUUUUCUUAAAUGCAUAAAGCUUUGAAAAAUACAACAUAGAUUAUAGGUAGAAACUGAAUUGAAGUUUUUAGAGGAAUAAAGACCUACCAAGUCAUCUUUUCAUUGCCUAGAGCAAACUAAACAAUUUCCCAGGGUCUGCAAGUCUUAUCUGAUUCAUUAUGUGACUAAGUAGACUGCUUCUUAUUUUACUUGGUUAUGCUUAUUUAAAAUAUUGUAAUUCAUCACUGUUAAAAUUAUUACUUUAUGCUUAUUCAGCCUUUUAUAGAGUCUGUCUUUAAAGUUUAGAAAGUGUUUCUUUCACAAGGAAAAAAAAUCUAUCUUAACUUUAGGAUGAUUUUUUUUCCUUAAAUUCAAGUUAUCUUUGGUUAGCAUUAAAUUUCUGCAGUACCAACUGUCACCACCAGGCUCAGCAGACAGACUUGUUCAGAGUUCAGUUUGCAGGGUGAGUGCAGGACUGAUUUGAACUACUAAUAUGUCAGUGAUGGCCUUACCUGGUUUCCUUCUGUCUUUAUAUUUUGUUGUGUGAAUCUUAAUUAGAACAUGGACUCUCCUUUUAGACACAAUAUGGAUGCUAACAAAUGGCGAUGGUUAUAUCUGGAGAGAGGUGGAAGGGUCUAUUUCAUGACCAAUGAACAAUUUGGCCAUUUAUCUGUUCAUCAGUAUCAGCAGAGUCAAUCACUGGACAGUGAGGGUGGGCCCAUGUUGAUGCACUUUGGGUAGGCAGAGCUCCUUGCUGGAGUUAGAGGUGAGAUCAGACUCACCCAAUCUAAUACUCAAAGUUGGGAGAGCUGGAGUGGAUUCAGAUGUGGGACAAUUACUGCACUCAGUGUAGCCCUUUAUCCCUGCCUUCCUUCAAGCUGUGGUAGUGGAAGGAUUCUGACAGUCAAGUAUUCUCUGUUCCACAAUUCAUACUUUCUUGCUCUGUGCUCAGGGAUGCUUAUGGAAUAAAAUUGCAGCUUCCUACCAUGGGAGUAGGGGAACCUACUGCUGUCCCAAGGAAAUUGCAAGAGAUGUGAAUCGAAAAUAAUGCAGGUAUGAGGACCUCAAUUAGGACUAAGAAACCACACUUUGACUGGCAUUCAAAAUUCACAUAAGUCAAAAUACAGCAUUGAAAUGACCUAGCCACGAUUUGGUGAUUUGGGUAAUACAAAUACAUAUGUGUGCUAGUGUGUAUAUGUGUGAAUAUGAUUGUGUGCAUGUGUGUAUUUACAAAGGGAUUAUCGCCUAAUAAAUUCAUUGUGAGCUAAAAGUAUUGCAUGUCAAGAAUGAAUUGAAUACAGCCAACCUACUGAGUGUCAGAGCUUAGCAACACAGCACAGCACUGUAGAGCACUGAAGGUUUCCCUCACAACCACAGGGUUGGCUGGGAGGUGCGACUGCUGCUUCUGCCCAGUAUAUUCAGAAUAUUAUCUUGCAUAUUACAAUCCUGGGGAAAGCGUCACAAUUUGAAGUAUGAGUUAUUUCGAAUAUGUAUCACUUUUAUACCAUCCUAAUUUUGAAAAACAUUCAAUUGAACUCUCAAAAGUCAGGGAUUGUUUAUAAAAGGGCACUUUAAACAUUUCUUGGGAAAAGUAGAAUUAAAAAAGAAGUUUAUUUCAGUGCAAAAAACUUUCAAAAUCAUAUAUAUGACUUUACCAUAUAUAUGAUAAAAUUUCAACCUAGGAAGGAGAGAGUUGGCCAAUGAUUCUUUAUCUUCCACUGUUCCACAAAACAUUUAGACCCUUUUGGAUCUUGGUUUGUAGUUGUAAAGUUGCUUGUAGUUCUACUCAAGGGCUGGUGAUGUUCUGAGUGGAGGGAGUAAUGAAUGUAGAAAGGGAAAGCUGAACGGGACUUUGAAGCUGACCUCCUCUGGUUUUCACAGUCUGAGGCAUAGGGAUAGAUGCUGGGAAACAUUGAUUACUUAUGCAGGGACUCCAGCUUCUAAGGGGGUGUGAUUUGAAUUGCACAUUAUACUGUCUACUUCUAAGUGUUUUCUUAGCUACAUUUGGUUCACAGUGUUGGGAAGACUUGCUGAUUGUAUCUUCUUUGUCAAACAGAACGAUUUGGAUCUUUUUUUAGUUUCCUUAUACAAAAUUUUGGCAUUAGAAUGUUGCCAGUGAUUCUGUUUUUUAAUUUUUAAAAUGUAUUUAAAGGGAACACAUUUCAUAUAUAGAGUUGUAAGAGAAUAAUGAUAUUUCCAAUGAAUAGGAAAUUGGAAUGUGAAACAUAAUGAGAUGCUAAAUUUUUUUGCAUUAAAUAUUAAGAUCUUAAAUAUAACCUUUCCUCCUUGCAUUGUUGGGAGUGCUACUGCUGUGCAUGAUAGGAGGAGAAUUAAUGCAUUUUAAGAACUUAUUAUUCAUGGGGUAAGUGUUAUACAUAUCAAUUAAGACACCAUAUUGGAGUACUUAGGUUUGGUUUCCAGCACCAAUUCCUGACUCUGGCUCUCUGCUAAUGCAGACCCUGGGAGGCAGCAGUGAUAGCUCCUGAUAAGUACUCAGGAGACCUGGAUUGUGUUUCUGCCUCCUGACUUUACCUUUAACCCAGCCCUGGCAUUGCAGGUAUUUGGGGAGUGAACAGUGGAUAGAAGUUCUCUCUUUGUCUGUCUGUCUCUGUUUCUUCACCUGUUAAAUAAAUAAAUAGAUAAAAUUUUAAAGAAUUUAUUGUCUGCAAUUUGUUCUAAUCUAGAUUGUCAGUGAUAAUUAAGGUAAGUGCAUAUAAAUGUACUUUGAAUAAAAACUGUAAAAUCAGUGGGUAUGUUAGGUACAAUGAUAUGUGACUGACUGGCAGCAUCCUGGGACUGAGCCUUGUAAAUCCGCAGACUCAGGGGCAACAUUGCCUGUCCUUCUCUGCACUCCCUGUUGGAAGGUAAUGGUGAUGGUUGCUCUUUCUCCUUACCCUCAAUAUGCAGCAGUAUAUAAUCUCCAUGGCCAGGAUAGCUUGGUCAUUGAAUACAGUGGAACAGGGGAUGUGGAAUGAAUGAGUGAGUGCAUCAGAGGAGGCAGUCAUUGGCUUAUUGACACCAGAGGCCCUGAUGCCAGGAAAUGAAGAUGAUUUCAGGUCAUGCAGACAGCAUUGAGCUUCACAAGUACACUUGGGUUUCCUUGUACCUUGGAUUAAGGAGGCACAGUCUUCUCAUGAUCUGCAGGGGUUAAUUACUGCUACAAGUCUCAGAGAUACUGUUAUUAGCAUAAAUGACUUUUGAGCAACCACUUAUAUUACAAAGGAAAUUCUUGUGUUAAUGCAAGUAGCCUUUAGCCUGUCCAUGGUUCUGAUCCUCUCAUUACUCUGUUUAGAACCCCAGCUGUGAAGCACCAUCUGUCAGCAGUAGCAGCAGCAUCUGUCUUUUUGUCAGUUGGCAUCUGGGUUAACUCUGGCAGAAUUUCCUAAAGGGCCUGAGGUGGGUGUGUGGCUUGAGGGAGCAGGCUCUGCCCCUGGUGCCUUUAGUGAAAUAUUGUCUGCCCUUUUCAGCAUGAAACCACUCAUGCUUGUGUGCCAAGUGCUUGCUUUUCACAAGCUGGGGGACUCUUAGAUUUCUUGCAUUCCAUAGUGCACUAAAUCUUACUUGCUAAUCUUUCUUUUCCACUCAUAAUAAUGUUGUCAUACAAUGAAACUUGAGCAAAUGCCCAUUUGAGAGACUCAGGGUAGGAUUUUGUGCUUUCGUUUUAAUUCAGCUGAAGACAAUGUUGGGAUAUCUGCUGGCUUAAAUGUUACUCUCUCCUUCUUCCCCCUCCCCAAUUCGCAUGCUUGCUGAAACACCGGAAUGUGAUCUUAUAGGAUUGCUACAGAUGUAUUUGGUUAGGAUGAAGGCGUACUGAGCAGGGUGGCCCUCAAUCCAGUAUGACUGCUGUCCUUGUAAGAAGAGACGCAAAGUCACACAGAGGGAAGACAGCUGUGUGAUGGCUGAGGCAGAGACUGGAGUUCUUCUGCCACAAGCCAGGAAAUGCCUGGGAUUGCUGGCAGCCACGGGAAGCUAGGAAAGAAGCAAGGGGCAGGUUGUCUCUCAAUCUCUUGGGAAGAGCAUAACUCUUUUAACACUGUGAUUUCUGACUUCUAGCUUCCAAAAUCACCCAUGAGGUGAUACAUUUCUGUGAUUUUAAGCUGCUAGUGGAUGGAGAUUUGUUAUAGCCACUCUAGGAAACAAAUACAGAGCACUUUCCAGGAUGUCAUUGCUGGGAAUCCGUGUGCAUUUUCAAAGUUCUGAUGACACACUCUACAGAUAGCCUUUGUAUAAAGAUUCUCUUUUUGGGUGCCCAAGAAUGGCAUAGAGUUAUGGAACAUUGUGGAACUAGGGAUUUUCCAUUGGGAAAAAAUUUUAAGUUUAUUCAUGCAGUCAGCCAUAGGUAAUAAGACCUCAUAAUGUGCGAAGCUCAGUGUUUCUUUUGGGGGAUAUGCAAGAGGGCUUCAAAAAGUUUGUGGAAAAUGGAAUUAAAAGCCCAUUUGAAGUUUCCUUGAACUUUUGGAAGACUCUUCAUGGCAGCCAACAAAGCUGAUGAGGGAUGAAACCUCUUAGUGAUAACCGUUCAGUGAUGAAGACAGACCUGAGCUUGCUUGUUUCCAGCCAACCGUAUUUGUAUCAUUGUGCAAAAUCAGUCAUACUAAGCAGCAAAAAUCUCUGGGCCAAACACUGAACCAAUCUGUGAUCUUGGACAGGUUUUAUCUUUGAACCUCACAUGUCCUACUCCAGAAAAAGAGGAAUAGAAUACUUAACAAAAUAAAAAAUCAGCAUUUGAGAAUAUUGCUUAAUGAUCCUGGUGAAGAGCUUAAUACCGCAUAUAUGUUUAAUUCUAUUCAUGUGUCUGUAUUUUAUGUCCUCAGUCCAGUAUAGACUGUCUUGCCUUUUCUAGUUUGAAUUAUAAUUCUUUGUAAUAGGUUUAGCAUGUAUUCAUUUAAUUAUAUUAUUAAUUAACAAUAUUAUUAGGGAGUUUGAUUAGCAGCUAACAUUUAGUGUUUAUUAUAUUCAGAUGCCAUUACAGGCAAUCUAUUUAGCUCAUUUUUUUUUCUCUCAGUCCUACAAAUCUAUCUUCACUUUCAACCCAUUUUAUAGAUGAAGACAGUGAAAUAUUGGGGGAACUUCCUGAAAGUUGAUCAUUUUGCCUGUGACAUUGUUAGGAUUCUGGCCCGAGAAGCCUGACCUCUGGCUCCGUGCCCUCAAAGGCAGCAGGUGGUAUAUUUGCACACGCCGACCAUCCUGCUACCUUCCUAGGUUUAAGAGGACUGUGUGCAAGUCAUGACCCUUCAUCUCUUUUUAUUAGUAAUCUCAGCCUCUAUGAACGAUGCAGACAUUUUUAAAGAUUUUUUUUUUAAUUGAAUUACAGAGAGAGAAGGACACACACACACACACACACACACACAUCUUCCAUUCUCUGGUUCACACUCCAAAUGGCCACAAUAGCCAGGGCUGGGCCAAGCUGAAGCCAGGAGCCUGGAGCUUCUUUCGUGUCUCCCACAUGGGUGCAGGGGCCCUAGCACUUGGGCCAUCUUCCACUGCUUUUCCAGGUUCAUUUUCAGGGAGCUGGGUCAGAAGUGGAGUGGCUGGGACAUGAACCAGCACCCAUAGAAGAUGCGGCAUUACAGGUGAUGAUGUAAUCCACUACACCACAAUGCCAACCCCAGAAAAUAUUGGUUUAAUUGAGAUUUGUGAAAGAGAGUGCUGCUGGGAUGAUAAAUAAUGACUGUAAGCUAAUGGGACUUGAAUGAUUAGCUCUUUGUCCUUCAGGAUCAUGUGUGGUUAUGCCAGGGUUGGCAAUUCACCCUUUAGCAUGGCUUAUAUAGUGUUGGAGUGGGGAGUCCCUUACAGCACUAUUUCACUUGAGACAAAAGUUUGUGCCUUUUCUACCCAGAAAGUGGCAAGUCACCAUAUAGAGGAGAAAGGGGAAGCCCACGUGUAUCUCUUGACAAACAGAGUUUUGAGGCAGGUGUAUUUAGAUCCCAGUGCUCUGCAUCAGUCCCAUUAGUGUCUGUGACAUCUGCUGUCUUGCUGUUCUGGAUCCACAGGGACCCACAACACUGGCCGCCAGCCCUACCUGGAGCUAACACAGUGCACUGUGAAAUCAUUUCCUUCCAUUCCAUUCCCCCAAGUCCGCAGCUCUCUGCCCACCCUGGCUGCUGCAGCAGGGUUUUCAUUGGCCUUCCAGGAGAUGCUGGCUCAGUCAUGAGCUGUCACGCUUCUCUCUGGAAAGAACUCUGUACUUUGUCUUCUCUAGUCAUAGUGCUCAGGAUUGGAUUCUGGCUAGAAGCAAUAAGCAAAAAGCAAUCACAAAUGAGCAUCCUGUCAUUGCAGCACCAUUCACAGUAACCAAAAGGUGGAACCACACCAAGUAUCCAUCAUCAGGCGAAUGAUUAACCAUGUAGCGUAAAUGCAUGAUGGAAUACUGUACAGCCACAAAAAAGAAUGAGGCCUGAUACACCAACCGAAUGUACCCUGAAAACAUCAUUUUAAGUGAAAUAAGCCAGACACAAAAAGACAAAUAACAUAUGAUUCCACUUACAUGAAAUGUCGACAUGGGGAAUUCAUGGAGACUGAAAGCAGAUGAGAGGUAGCAAGAAUUAGAAGGAGGAGGAGAAGCAGGGCUUGAAUGCUUAAUGGUUACAGAGAGCUUCCAUUUGUGUGGUUGAAAACAUUUUAGGAGUAGAAAGUGGCAAUGGUUGUAACAUUGUGCUGCCAUUAAUGCUCCUGAUUUGGACAUACAUAUGGCUAAAAUGACAAAUUUAUGUUUUUAUAUAUAGAUAUGUAAUCACAAUUAAAAUAUGAUUUUAAAAAGCCUAAAACCCUCAACCCAGUCUUGUUUUUAUUUAUUUUAUUUUAAAAAUUGAUAUAUAUUAAUUGUACAUACUUGAGGAGAACAAUGUGCUAUUUGUGUGCAUAUACAUAAUUUGCAGUGAUCAGAUUAGGGUAAUUAGCAUAUAUAUCACCCCAGACAUCUAUCAUUGUUUUGGGAACAUUCAAAAUACUCUCUUUUAGCUAUUUUGAAAUAUUGAAGUAAUGAUUGCUAGUCACAGCUAUUCUGCUGUGUUAUAGUUAGUCCUGUCCAUCUACUGUAUUCUUGUACUAUUAGCCAUCUUCUAUUCUUACCUCCCUUCUCCUAAACCCCUCCCCAACACACAUGCCCUUCCCAGCCUCUGGUAACCACUGUUCUAUAUCCUACUUUUGUUAAAAUCAGCUCUUCAUUCCAUAUAUUGGUGAAAUGUGUGUUAUUUGUCUCCCUGUGCCUGACUUGUUUCACUUAAUACAAUGUCCUUCAGCUGCAUCCAUGUUGCUUCCAGUAACAGAAUUUCAUUCAUAUUUAUGGCUGAGUAAUAUUUUUGUGUUUACUUGUACAUUUUCUUUAUUAAUUUAUCUGUUCACAGACCAGGCCUUGCUUCUGCAGGACUUCACUUUGUGGCUUGGCAGUGUUGCACUUGCUGAACUAUGUCCUAGGCUUUCCUUAAGGUGGAUCUAAAUCUCAUUGGAAUGGCAGCUUCUUAGGGGAAGAGACUCAGUGCCAGGUGCAGUGCUGAGCCAUGGAAUGAAGCAUGUGCUAAUUUACUGUAUUUUGUUUGAUAGCCAUGCCCUGGAUUGCUUUGAUUGUGGAUGUGUGUAUCUGGCUCAGUGGCUCUGAUGUGAUUUGGGAAAAUGAAAUAGAAGGCAAGUUUCAGACAUUCAAUGGCUAUGGAGGAAAAGAAAAACAUGAUUCUAACAGUUCUACUUCAUUUCCAUCAUCCCCUUCUUCUCAGCUCUUGCUUCCAAUUUUGCAGCAGCCUAAAUCAAAGAACAGGAGAAGCAAAAAUAAAAUACAUUAUUUGGUGGUUUUCAUUUAUAGUGAGGUGAAACAGAAGGGUUAGGAUCCUGUUCCUCCUCCUUUCAAUCAACUUCAAGACCUCCAGGGCUGGAGAAGUCAUCUGUUACAUCGCUACCAUUUGUCCAGAAAGAACUAACAUGAUUUUAUAAUAUGUUUCAGUUUGUUUCCAAAAAAAAAAACCCAAUAUGCACUUGGACCAGGGAUAAAGUGAAUGUUCUAUGAAAUAGCUAAUAUUAUUAUUCUGUAUGUACAAACAUGUAAACUGUGGGUCAAAGUAGAAAAAAAGACUGUCUCAAGAUAAUAAUUGGGAGAAUAAUAGUGAGUUCAGCAUACAAAUAUGACCCAUAUCUCCCUUAAUCUAAUUCUGAGAUGGGGAAUAAAUUCUCUUUCCUUUGGUAUGGGCGUUUAAUAUUAUAUAAGGCUGUCUUAGUGUACCAGCACUGGGUUUAAGGUAAAGUAGACAGAAGCAGGAAAUAUGGGGCUGAGGCCACCUCAUGGGUCCCCUUGCUUGAGGACUUCAUGUUGGAAGUCUGCAGCUGGAGUCUGUGAUGAAUGCAGUGUGUACAAUCUGGAAUUGAUAGAGUGAAUCAAUUUUGAAGGAGGCUUCUUGGAUUCUUAAGGAUGUUAGAAAUCAUAAGAUCCCAUUGAUUCAAUUUUGUUCUGCUGUUGAUUGAUCUCUUCUAUUACACUAUUUUACCUUGUUUGUGUUAUAAUAAAUCACCAUGGAGAAAUUCUGACUUUCUUGUUUUAAGUAGCUGCUUUUACAAAAGCAACCUGGGUACUAGCAAUGAGCAAAGAGAAGAAAUUUAGUUUUUAAUUUUACAUAUGGGAAUCUAUAAAUUAAAAUAACUUUAAAACUUUCACUAAUAGCAUCUCAAUUAAUGAUCAUUCUCUUUAUCUUCAAAUGUUAGAAAAACCUGGCACACUCUAGCAGCCAUCCUAAAGGCAUACCUGAUUGGAACAAAAGACCACUGCAUUGUUCUGUUAAUGUUACUGGACAAAUAGUGUGACCCACGUGACCAAAACGAUGGCUCCACCCUACUGAUUGUUUUCAUAGUGCAAUCUUCAAUCUUGUGCUUAUGUCCUAACCUAUUACAGAUAACAUUCACCCACCUUGCACCUUAGUUCCCUUGCUUGGAUGUUUACUUGUAUUUAAUAUCUAAUUUUUACUAAGUUGUUGUUUGUACCUUUAGCCCACUCAGGUGAAAAUUAGCUAUUACUUUCUUAAAUCCAUUAGGCACAGUUAUAAUAUGUGAAAAGCCCCUUUUGGGGCUAGCUAUUGGCCAAAUAAUAGUUUCAGGUAGGCAAAGUAGAGACAAGAAUUGUCAACCUUGUUUAUACUUGAAGGAUUUUUAUUAUAUAUAUGAAACAUGCAAAAUUUAACUUCUUUGCAUAUAAAAUAUUUCUUUACUUUUUGUUGUUGUUAUUUGUUGAAUUCCUUGCUCCUAGCUUUGGCCUGGCCCAGCUAGGGGAGGAAACCAGUGGAUGGGAGCUCUGUCUGUCUGUCUAUCUGUUUGUCAUGUUCUUUCUGUCCCUUAAGUUAAAAAAAUAAUAAAAAUAAAAAUGUUUCACUUGUCUAAGGAUGCACAGUGGAGGUUCAUGGAGGGUGAUCAAUCUUGCCAAUUUUGUUUAUGAAGAAGAUAUAUACACACAACACACAACAGGUAUAUAGCAUAUCUUUGGUAUUAUAGUUUCACUGGACAAGGUAGGGGGUAAUUAGGAAAAAGUCAAAAAUUUUUCAUUAUCAGGGCAAUAAUGAAAGAAAUUGUGAAACACAGUCUUAGGCAUAAUGGGUAUUUAAUAGAAUGGAGCAGUUAAAGAAUGUAUUAGGGUACACAACACAAUAUUUGUGUGUACUCAAUGUGAACUACUAUUAUAAACAACAUAACAAGAGUGUGUGUUUCCUCAACCUUAUUCCCUUUCUUCAUAGAACAGCAUCUCCUAUAAUGAAGUUGGUGGCCCCUUGAAGGGUCCGUACACAUGUUCUUAGGCAUGUCCAAGAGUCUUCUAUGAAAUCUGUUGUUUCAUUUCAUGCUUUCAUUUUGAUUAUAAUGUUUAUUAGGAUUUGUUUCAUUUAUUUGAAAGGCAGAGCUACCUAGAGAAAGAGAGGGAGAGACAAAGAGAGAUCUUCCAUCUGCUGGUCUAAUCCCCAAAUGGCCUCAAUGGCUGGGGUGGGCCAAGUGAAAGCCAGGAGUCAGGAGCCUCCUCUGGGUCCCUGACGUGGGCAUAGGGACCCAAACACUCAGACUGACCUACACUGCCCACGCAGGUACAUCAGCAGGGAGCUGGAUUGAAAGUGGAGCAGCCAGGACUUGAACCGGCACCCAUAUGUGGCAUAACCUACUAUGCCAUGGCACAGGCUCGAUGAUCAACUUAAAGUGGAUGUUCCCACAUAAAGAAAUGAUAAAUAUUUAAAGUGAUGCAUAUACUGAUAACUGAUAUAAUAAUUGCACAUCACAUAUAAGUAUUGAACUAUCAUACUGUACCCUGUAAAUAUGCAGUUAUUAUGUGUCAAUUAACAUUUUUUAAAAGUUAAAGAGAAGAAAUUGUAUCCUGGUUUCCUUUUACAACAGAAUUCUGCCACAGAUUUCAUUAUCCGCUGUUCCCUUGCCUUAGAGGAAGGAGAUCUGUGUAGAUGUUGGACUGACAAAAAAGAAAAAAAAAACAAACAGACUUUACAAUGUGAAUGAGGAGCAGGAGCUUGGCAAAGCAGGUAAGAAGCCUCUUAGGAUGCUGCGUCCCAUGUUGGCGUCCUUGGGUCUGAGACCCAGUCAGAUCCACCUUCCUCUAGUGCACACCCAGGGAGGCAGCAGUGAUCUCUCUAGGACUUGAAUCUCUGACUCUCACAUGGGAGACACAGAUUGGAUUCCUGGCUCCUGGCUUUGGCCUGCCCCAGCCCUGGCUAUUGUGGUCAUCUGGGGGAUGAACCAGGAGAUGAAAUACUACACUUCAACCCCUCUCUGUUUCUCUGCCUUUCAAAUAAAUAAAAUUUUUAAAAGUGCAAAUGAUGCAGUUGGACUAGUUGAGGAACAGAUAACUGAUGCGUCAUCUUAUCACAGGAGGGAAGGACUCUGACUACAGAUGGAGGACAGUGGUGAGCAGAGUGAGUCCUCACCUGACUAAGGUACAGGAUGUCCUAAAACCAAGAGGAUGUUGGCUUUAGCAGUCAGUAUUAUAUUUAAGUUUUGAACAGCAGUUUAAUCUCAGCAAAAAUAACAUCAGCUACCUUAUUAAAUUAAUGCUGUUAAUUUGAAUGUUAUGGGUUUUGUUGUUUUUGUGUUUGCUAUUUUGUUUUAGUUUUAUUGUUGAAUUGGAGUUAGAGCAUAUGGAGUUUAUUUCUGGUUUUCUACUGGCACAUUGCUAAGCUUCAAAACAAUAAAAACCAAUAUAAUAUAUUUGGUGGUGCAAAGUAAAUUUUUGGCCUUAUUAAAGGGAACGUUUGUUUGACUCAGAUUUGAGAAGUUGUGUCAUGAGCCUAUAGAAUCUUAGACUAAUCUGAGCUGCCAGGAUCACUUAGUCCAGUCACAUCCCGUAACACAUGUAGAUACUGAACAUCCAGGGGGACAAGUAAAAACCCAAGGUCAAAAAAGCAAGGGAGUGGGGGCACUGUAGCACAGCAGGUUAAGCCUCCACCUGUGAUGCCAGCAUCCCAUAUGGGUGCCAGUUCAAGACCCGGCUGCUCCACUUCCAAUCCAGCUCUCUACUAAUGUACCUGAGAAAAUGGCCCAAGUAUUUGGACCCCUGCACCCAUGUGGGAGACUGAAGAAGCUGUAGGAUUCUGGUUCAGCUUGGCUCACUCCAGCCAUUGAGA
Oryctolagus cuniculus (rabbit) is the source of this 23531-nucleotide non-coding RNA. Lineage: Eukaryota; Metazoa; Chordata; Mammalia; Lagomorpha; Leporidae. The record is from RefSeq and is a predicted model, not a curated record.